This 481-nucleotide ribosomal RNA is filed under the name uncultured bacterium. RNAcentral describes it as "bacterial SSU rRNA". It matches the Rfam family "Bacterial small subunit ribosomal RNA", at positions 903 to 1397 of the family's 1533-position model. The record is from RNAcentral.
AAAUGAAUAGACGGGUGCCCGCACAAGCAGCGGAGCGUGUGGUUUAAUUCGAUGCUACACGAAGAACCUUACCUGGGUUUGACAUAUACGUGGUAGAGAAGGGAAACCGGAUCGACCCUUCGGGGAGCGUAUACAGGUGCUGCAUGGCUGUCGUCAGCUCGUGUCGUGAGAUGUCCGGUUAAGUCCGGUAACGAGCGCAACCCCUGCUGUAUGUUACAUGUGUCAUACGGGACUGCCGGUAUCAAGCCGGAGGAAGGUGGGGAUGACGUCAAGUCAGCAUGGCCUUUAUAUCCAGGGCUACACACACGCUACAAUGGUCGGUACAACAGGUUGCAAUACCGCAAGGUGGAGCCAAUCCUCAAAAUCGACCUCAGUUCAGAUUGCAGGCUGCAACUCGCCUGCAUGAAGUCGGAGUUGCUAGUAACCGCGCGUCAGCAUUAGUGCGGUGAAUACGUUCCCGGGCGUUGUACACACCGCCCGU